CAUGCAAGUCGAACGGAGUUACUUUAGUGAAGUUUUCGGAUGGAUCUGAUUUAACUUAGUGGCGGACGGGUGAGUAAUGCGUGAGCAACCUGCCCUUCAGAGGGGGACAACAGUUGGAAACGACUGCUAAUACCGCAUAAUGUAUUCGGAAGGCAUCUUCUGGAUACCAAAGGAGAAAUCCGCUGAUGGAUGGGCUCACGUCUGAUUAGCUAGUUGGUGAGGUAACGGCUCACCAAGGCUGCGAUCAGUAGCCGGACUGAGAGGUUGAACGGCCACAUUGGGACUGAGAUACGGCCCAGACUCCUACGGGAGGCAGCAGUGGGGAAUAUUGGGCAAUGGGCGAAAGCCUGACCCAGCAACGCCGCGUGAAGGAAGAAGGCCUUCGGGUUGUAAACUUCUUUUAAGAGGGACGAAGAAGUGACGGUACCUCUUGAAUAAGCCACGGCUAACUACGUGCCAGCAGCCGCGGUAAUACGUAGGUGGCGAGCGUUAUCCGGAUUUACUGGGUGUAAAGGGCGCGUAGGCGGGAAUGCAAGUCAGAUGUGAAAUCCAAGGGCUCAACCCUUGAACUGCAUUUGAAACUGUAUUUCUUGAGUGUCGGAGAGGUUGACGGAAUUCCUAGUGUAGCGGUGAAAUGCGUAGAUAUUAGGAGGAACACCAGUGGCGAAGGCGGUCAACUGGACGAUAACUGACGCUGAGG
This 700-nucleotide ribosomal RNA is filed under the name uncultured bacterium. Its description in RNAcentral is "bacterial SSU rRNA". It matches the Rfam family "Bacterial small subunit ribosomal RNA", at positions 54 to 751 of the family's 1533-position model. The record is from RNAcentral.